This 686-nucleotide ribosomal RNA is filed under the name uncultured Bacteroidales bacterium. RNAcentral's name for it is "bacterial SSU rRNA". It matches the Rfam family "Bacterial small subunit ribosomal RNA", at positions 92 to 776 of the family's 1533-position model. Lineage: Bacteria; Pseudomonadati; Bacteroidota; Bacteroidia; Bacteroidales. The record is from RNAcentral.
CGACCGGCGCACGGGUGCGUAACGCGUAUCGAACCUGCCUCAUACUCGGGGAUAGCCUUGCGAAAGUAAGAUUAAUACCCGGCGGUCUCGGACGGCCGCAUGACUGUCCGAGUGAAGAUUUAUCGGUAUGAGAUGGCGAUGCGUCCCAUUAGCUUGUUGGUGAGGUAAUGGCUCACCAAGGCAUCGAUGGGUAGGGGUUCUGAGAGGAAGGUCCCCCACAUUGGAACUGAGACACGGUCCAAACUCCUACGGGAGGCAGCAGUGAGGAAUAUUGGUCAAUGGACGAAAGUCUGAACCAGCCAAGUAGCGUGCAGGAAGACGGCCCUCUGGGUUGUAAACUGCUUUUAGUUGGGAAUAAAAAGAGGGACGUGUCCCUUAUUGUAUGUACCAUCAGAAAAAGGACCGGCUAAUUCCGUGCCAGCAGCCGCGGUAAUACGGAAGGUCCAGGCGUUAUCCGGAUUUAUUGGGUUUAAAGGGAGCGCAGGCGGCGGCGUAAGUCAGUUGUGAAAUCGUGCGGCUUAACCGUGCAAUUGCAGUUGAUACUGCGUCGCUUGAGUGCACACAGGGAUGUUGGAAUUCAUGGUGUAGCGGUGAAAUGCUUAGAUAUCAUGAAGAACUCCGAUCGCGAAGGCAUAUGUCCGGAGUGCAACUGACGCUGAGGCUCGAAAGUGUGGGUAUCAAACAGG